UUUCCGUAGGUGAACCUGCGGAAGGAUCAUUCAUAAUAAGUGUUUUAUGGCACUUUUUUAAAUCCAUAUCCACCUUGUGUGCAAUGUCAGGGUUGAUUUUUCUCUCGAGAGGAUCAACCCCAAACAUCAACUAUAUCUCAAUUCUUUGUCUGAAAAAUAUUAUGAAUAAAACAAUUCAAAAUACAACUUUCAACAACGGAUCUCUUGGCUCUC
Molecule: unclassified non-coding RNA, 213 nt
Filed under: plant metagenome
Description: partial contains small subunit ribosomal RNA, internal transcribed spacer 1, and 5.8S ribosomal RNA
Source: RNAcentral